RNAcentral lists this ribosomal RNA (263 nucleotides) under uncultured bacterium. RNAcentral describes it as "partial 16S ribosomal RNA". It matches the Rfam family "Bacterial small subunit ribosomal RNA", at positions 334 to 589 of the family's 1533-position model. The record is from RNAcentral.
UCCGCCUACGGGGCGCAGCAGUAGGGAAUCUUCCACAAUGGACGAAAGUCUGAUGGAGCAACGCCGCGUGAGUGAAGAAGGGUUUCGGCUCGUAAAGCUCUGUUGGGAGUGGAGAAAGAUAGAGGUAGUAACUGGACGUUAUUUGACGGGAAUUACUUAGAAAGUUACGGCUAAAUACGUGGCAGCAGCCGCGGGAAUACGUAGGUGGGAAGCGUUGUCCGGAUGUAUUGGGCGUAAAGCGAGUGGAGGGGGUGUAAUAAAGU